Long non-coding RNA from Raphanus sativus (radish), 508 nucleotides. RefSeq lists it as uncharacterized. The record is from RefSeq and is a predicted model, not a curated record. Lineage: Eukaryota; Viridiplantae; Streptophyta; Magnoliopsida; Brassicales; Brassicaceae. The transcript is spliced from 2 exons.
UUUUUUUUUUCUCAAACCUUUCUCCAUCACUUACGAAAUUACGAGCUCCCUUUCGCUCCUUCUACUAAUUCCAUUUUUCAACGUUUUCUUCUAAUAACGAAGUUGCUUCCACCAACAUCUUUUUUUUUUUUUUGCUACCUCUUCCGCAUAAUCUCGCCUUUUUAUUCUCUUCCUCUUUGAUUGUUACAGAAAGCGAAAUCAAAAGCUUUCUUUUUUAAGAUUCUGUUUUUUUUUUUAACUUCGACUUUGGAUCAAGCUCGUUUCAAGUUCGAAAACGCCGGUAAGCAUCCGAUUACGUGCCUGUGAGACGUUAGGCAGUGCUUGGGCAUGGAGAUUUCGUCAUAGGGAGCAAGCAGAGCAAAUCGGAGGUCGCAAUUUUUUUUUUGAAUUUUGAUUGUUUAAAACUGAUGUUUUAUGGUAGAUCUAUGUAUUUGAGAGAUAACUAAUAUGUAAUCACAUAACAAUCUGAUAAUUUACAGGAAAAUCGUUGAUGGCCGCCAUGAAAAUA